This 72-nucleotide transfer RNA is filed under the name Trieres regia. Its description in RNAcentral is "Odontella regia tRNA-Lys". It matches the Rfam family "tRNA". Rfam says of the family: Transfer RNA (tRNA) molecules are approximately 80 nucleotides in length. The record is from RNAcentral. Lineage: Eukaryota; Bacillariophyta; Thalassiosirophyceae; Eupodiscales; Parodontellaceae.
GAGUAUAUAGCUCAGAGGUAGAGCAUUGGACUUUUAAUCCACAGGCCUUGGGUUCAAAUCCCAAUGUACUCA